This is a non-coding RNA of Lolium perenne, 2997 nucleotides long. NCBI's taxonomy places the organism in Eukaryota, Viridiplantae, Streptophyta, Magnoliopsida, Poales, Poaceae. The record is from RefSeq and is a predicted model, not a curated record.
UGUAGAGUUAACCAACCGAUUUGCCCCCCACCUCCCACGUUUCUUCUCUCCCAUCUCUCCAUCGCCGCCAGCACCGCCCCGCCCCUCUCCCUGGACAUGUCCAGCGCCCCGUGCUGUGCCCCGCCUCCUCCUCCUCUUUCGUUUCCACGCCACCACGGUGGUUGGUCGCGCCCUUGGGCGCGCGCCCGCGAAACCCUAGCCCCUCCAGGCUUGGUCGCCGGCACUUCACUGACGCUGCCGCACCUCCGGCUGCUCCUCCUCGCGGAGGAUGUCUUUCUCUACUUCGCCUGCAUCUCCUCCUCGACCUCCCCUGGCUGCUGCUCCGGUACAUCGACGCCGACGCCUACCUCCUAGAAGCCCGCGUCGUCCCGUUCCCAUCGCUGGGUGGACGAGGUCUAUCUCGAAUCGCCCGUUUGGUUCAGUCGUCGGGGCAGCUGGCGCUGAUCUGGUCGCCCCAUGACAUCGGGAGGGAGUUGGGGCGGCGGUGUUGUCGUCGGCAAGGAGGCGGGAAAACGAGCAGGGAGCAGCGAGGAGGUGACGCCUGGUGAGCAUCGUCAUAACAUUCCACGCCCCUGCAAUUGACAGCAAUUUUGGGGCCCUGGGGUUGCUGCCAUGACACGUCAGACGCCUUAACCGGGUAUAUCAGAGGAGCCGACAGGGCCGGUGCUCCCUCUCAACGGGUCCUUGUGGGAAUGCAAUUGUCGGACAAGGUGAUCAAAGGGACCAAGGCAGAUGUGGCAUUGUGAGUACCAAUCCAGCAGAUCAAUGAAUCCAGUUGGCUGAACUUGCAGAUGUGCCUUCCAAGCAUGGGAGAUAUAAUUGCAAACUAAUCUCAAAUCUAGUGGAGGAAGUGCACCGGUGGUACUUUAAGGCAGAUGGACAGACGGCGGACUGCUGGUGUGGCGUUUUACCUCACUAACACUGUUGAGUUCGUCCCGGAUGAGCCAUAUCCAACUCCGGAGGCAAGCAACCCUAUAAUUUUUAAAUUCCUUAAAGUUCAUGUUUGAUUUCCAGCCGGCUGAACACAUGAUGAGCAAUAGUAAUUUAUUUUGAUCGGUAGUGAUAAAUAAAGAAGAAUACUGUAAUGUACAUGCCUAUCCAUGAGACUUCUCUACACCGUAUUAUGUGUUCUAGGUAGCAGAGGAAAUCCACCUGUAUUGGUCUGCACCGUCAUUAGCAGCAACAUGGGGGGAUGCUACAUCAAUAGUUCGAACACUGGCAAACCAGUUCACUGUGAUGUAAAUUUCAUUUUCUAUGUGAAUUUCUUUCUUGCAGAAUACAUCUGAAGCUUAAUUUUCAUAUUUUUGUCCUUUUCAUCCCAUGCUUGCCAAAGGAAUUAGUUGUUUUUUUUAUGUAGAGGAUUUUUUAUAGGAACAUCAUAGUAGGAGCCACUUCUUCUGCUUUAACAUCACAAGAAAAAUAUCUAAAGUAUUUUGCGUGCCCUAUACUAAACAACCAUUGAGGCCAAUUCAGUGGCAAGAUUUUUAAGCACUUACUGUGUGAUAUAACACCACAUUUCUCUGCCUUUUCUCUUUUGGUACAAUCUGGCAGUUCAUGUGAUUUGUUUGUCUUCCUUCCAUGAUUCUCCAAAGUCUUGAAGCUAGCGGUUAGACAUUAAGGAAAACUAGAGAUGCCAUAGAGAACGGAAGAGAAUUCGCUGUUAGUUGAUUGAUUAUAAAUAGAGGUAUGUUACAGUCAUAUCCAUGGAAGUAGGGAUGCAUGUAUUUUUCUGUUGGUUUCAGAAAAUCAUUUUGAUUUUGGGCCAUUUAAUUUUCUCGAUGUUUGAUUUAAAAAGUUAUGCCAUUGUGACUCUAUGUUGAUGCUUACCCCCAUCUAUAUUACUAUUUUGUACUUAUGCGACAAAUUAGGCUUCAUCUUAUUCAACUUAAUUAUUUAUUUCAUAUCCCAGCUUAGCAAUUAUAGUUAUCUAUUGUUUUAUUUGCAGCCAUUGAGCUGAGAAAUUAUUAGACAUCUAUAAUAUUAUUUGUUCAUUGGGUUACUAUCUAAGUAUGAUGUCAGUGCGAUGUUGCUUCAGCAUUGUAUACUCUAAUGAUAUGUUUUAUGAAGUAAUCAACUAUGCCUGAUCAGUUGAGGAAUCUAUGGUUUCUUAUGUGGCUUUGUUUGAUAAUAUAAUUUUCGAUGCAUUUCUGAUAGAUUAACUUCUCAAUGUGAAUUCCAAAAUAAGGUUCAGAUUUACAAUGAUUGCUACUUAAAAGGAAACUUGUAGUCAUUUACGUUGUGUUUUCUUAGCGGUCUCUAGAACCUUAAAAUUGCAUUGCCUAUUUAGCUUUCAACAGCAAUAGCAUCAGCCAGAAACUUAGGUCCACCUCUCUGUCAUCUAUGCAUGUAGACUUGCUAGAUUAGGUUCGGACGGUUAAGGCCAAAUAAGGUUCAGAUUUUUAGUCAGUGCUUGCUACUUCAAAGUAAACUUGGUACUCGCUUACAUUGUGUUUUCUUAGCACUGUUUAUAACCUUAAAACUGCGUUGCCAUUGUUAUUUAGCUUUCAACAGCAACAACGUCGUGUUUGUGCCCACGUAGUUCGUGUGGUCUGAUGCAACCACUUUGAUCACUUUGUACUCUGCCUCUUCAUCUUUGACACUAUGCAGGGAGCUGAUGAGAUGUCGGUUCACGUUUGGGUUGUCACGCAGCUGUUGCUGGAGUGUUCGUCCUAUUUUUUUUAUCUAUGAUAUUUCCAGAGGGGCUGAUAGUGAUGCUCGAGUGGUCUUCAAACUGGGGUUUCAGGAGCUGUUCAACAAGCAAUGCUGAGUUUCUGAUCAGCAGAAAUAGCACUAGCGGUGUAUCAGUAUCACAGGCUGCAGAUAGCAGCUGACAAGAUGUCUAUUGUUGAGCUGGAGUAUUAUGAAAAUAUGAAUUGUGUUUUUUCUGGUCUUCGGUGGCAAUUCAUGUUAUAGGAUGGUGAAAUUAAUCCUGUAAAUUUUUGUGACCUGAUGCUAUAAUAUUUAAAUUCAGUUAUGCUAUAUAAUUUAUCACUGUAA